GAAUUGUAAACUGUUGUCGCAAGGGAAGAAGACAGUGACGGUACCUUGUGAGAAAGUCACGGCUAACUACGUGCCAGCAGCCGCGGUAAUACGUAGGUGACAAGCGUUGUCCGGAUUUACUGGGUGUAAAGGGCGCGUAGGCGGACUGUCAAGUCAGUCGUGAAAUACCGGGGCUUAACCCCGGGGCUGCGAUUGAAACUGACAGCCUUGAGUAUCGGAGAGGAAAGCGGAAUUCCUAGUGUAGCGGUGAAAUGCGUAGAUAUUAGGAGGAACACCAGUGGCGAAGGCGGCUUUCUGGACGACAACUGACGCUGAGGCGCGAAAGUGUGGGGAGCAAACAGGAUUAGAUACCCUGGUAGUCCACACCGUAAACGAUGGAUACUAGGUGUAGGAGGUAUCGACCCCUUCUGUGCCGCAGUUAACACAAUAAGUAUCCCACCUGGGGAGUA
RNAcentral lists this ribosomal RNA (449 nucleotides) under uncultured bacterium. Its description in RNAcentral is "bacterial SSU rRNA". It matches the Rfam family "Bacterial small subunit ribosomal RNA", at positions 420 to 882 of the family's 1533-position model. The record is from RNAcentral.